ACUAAAUUUUGAACUGGUUUGUUAUGCAGCAAUAGAUAAACAGAGCAUCAUGAGCAAAGCCUUUGAUAUGACUUCAUGAUCGAGUGCCCUUCAAAAUCAGAAUUGUUAGUUAUGGAAACAGUACCGUAAAAUCCAGUUAUUCAGAACUCUUGGGGAAUAAGUCAUUGCAGAUGAUGGAAUGAUGGCACUUCAAAAGAUAGAGGUGAUCAAUCUUUUAAAUGAUCCUGGAAGUGUUGACAGAGAUACACACGAUACAGUUACAUAUGAACAGUCUCUAGCUCGAGCUCCCACCAUCACCAUAAGAAUAACACUCCCUUCUUUUUAUUCCUCAAGUACACCUUCCACCUCC
Fukomys damarensis (Damara mole-rat) is the source of this 349-nucleotide long non-coding RNA. RefSeq lists it as uncharacterized. The transcript has 3 exons. The record is from RefSeq and is a predicted model, not a curated record. NCBI's taxonomy places the organism in Eukaryota, Metazoa, Chordata, Mammalia, Rodentia, Bathyergidae.